AUGAAUGGGCUGACCACUUCUGCACAUUCAUAUAGACGGCGGGGCUCGCAGCUUCUGUCUUGCAGGACGUUGGCGUCAAGACUUUGGCACAAGAACGACACAGCCAGCUACCCUUACAUAAUUCAGCAAGGAGAUUUCUCUGAGGAGACACAGCUAGAUGCUCUGACUGUUUUCAAGGUUUUCCACUUCUGCAUUCCUGUUGAGACUGAGAAGAAAUGUCUACAAAGCAUUUUAAAGGUCAUAUUUGUGCAUCCUAUUUGUACCCGUCUCCAUCUCUUGGCUUGAAAGGUGAAAUGAUGGUUCUUUAUUUUGCUUGCUGUCUUUAGUUGCUUUGAUUUCUGGGUUCUGUUCCGCUAAUUUAACUGCCGGGUCCCCUUAAUUCAGGGGAGUAUUCUUGUUUUUAAAAAGGUAGAGAAACCAUUAUCUGCGGCAUAUUCUAAAAAGCGUUCUUUGUAUUAAGCUUAUUUUCUGAAAACCUAAAUAUUUCAGUAACAUUAUUUAAACUACGCAUCAUUAUAUGCAUCACUGACAGCAUGAAUUAAACCAAAAGAGUUCAGGCUACUUUGUCUUCAUAGUAAAAGAAUAAAUAAAGGAUACUCAAGGAAUUGAGAGGAUUA
This 617-nucleotide long non-coding RNA is filed under the name Apteryx rowi (Okarito brown kiwi). RNAcentral's name for it is "lncRNA (ENSARWG00000012521.1)". Lineage: Eukaryota; Metazoa; Chordata; Aves; Apterygiformes; Apterygidae. The record is from RNAcentral.